AUACUUCCCUGGCAGGGGAGAUACCAUGAUCAUGAAGGUGGUUUUCCCAGGGCGAGGCUCACCCGUUACACUCCGGAUGUGCUGAUCCCUGCGAUUUCCCCAAAUGUGGGAGACUCGACUGCAUAAUUUGUGGUGGUAGGGGGCUCCGUUCAUGCUCUCCCCUG
Molecule: small nuclear RNA, 164 nt
Organism: Echinops telfairi (small Madagascar hedgehog)
Lineage: Eukaryota; Metazoa; Chordata; Mammalia; Afrosoricida; Tenrecidae
Product: U1 spliceosomal RNA
Exons: 1
Source: RefSeq, a predicted model, not a curated record